RNAcentral lists this non-coding RNA (24 nucleotides) under Arabidopsis thaliana (thale cress). Lineage: Eukaryota; Viridiplantae; Streptophyta; Magnoliopsida; Brassicales; Brassicaceae. The record is from RNAcentral.
AGGGACAACCUCCUAUGGAGAUGC